UGGGGAAUUUUGCGCAAUGGGCGAAAGCCUGACGCAGCAACGCCGCGUGAGUGAUGAAGGCUUUCGGGUCGUAAAGCUCUGUCAAGGGGAAAGAAGUGUAUUGCGGUUAAUACCCGCGAUACUUGACGGUACCCCUAAAGGAAGCACCGGCUAACUCCGUGCCAGCAGCCGCGGUAAUACGGAGGGUGCGAGCGUUGUUCGGAAUUAUUGGGCGUAAAGCGCGUGUAGGCGGUUUGUUAAGUCUGAUGUGAAAGCCCCGGGCUCAACCUGGGAAGUGCAUUGGAUACUGGCAGACUUGAAUACGGGAGAGGGCAGUGGAAUUCCUGGUGUAGGAGUGAAAUCCGUAGAUAUCAGGAGGAACACCGGUGGCGAAGGCGGCUGCCUGGACCGAUAUUGACGCUGAGACGCGAAAGCGUGGGUAGCAAACAGGAUUAGAUACCCUGGUAGUCCACGCCGUAAACGAUGAGUACUAGGUGUUGCGGGUAUUGACCCCUGCAGUGCCGCAGCUAACGCAUUAAGUACUCCGCCUGGGAAGUACGGUCGCAAGACUA
Molecule: ribosomal RNA, 551 nt
Filed under: uncultured delta proteobacterium
Lineage: Bacteria; Deltaproteobacteria
Description: bacterial SSU rRNA
Rfam family: Bacterial small subunit ribosomal RNA
Source: RNAcentral